CAGAGUUAGCCGGAGCUUAUUCCUCAGGUACCGUCAGUACUGCACACGUAUUAAGCAUAGCAGAUUUCGCUCCUGAUAAAAGUAGCUUUACAACCCGAAGGCCUUCUUCACACACGCAGGCAUUGCGUGGAUCAUGGCUUGCAGCCCAUUAGUCCAAUAUUCCCCACUGCUGCCUCCCGUAGGA
Molecule: ribosomal RNA, 184 nt
Filed under: uncultured bacterium
Lineage: Bacteria
Description: partial 16S ribosomal RNA
Source: RNAcentral